CACAUGCCUUGCAGGUCUUUAGGUGCAUAUUGUUGGAACUUGCUGUCUGGGAGGCUGGACGGCGUAGUCGAUGGACAACGGGUGAAUAUUCCUGUACUACCCCUUGUUGGUCCCGAGGGACAGAGGAGGCUAGGUUAGCUGAAAGAUGGUUAUCGGUUCAAGGACGUAAGGUGACCCUGCUUUUUCAGGGUAAGAAGGGGUAGAGAAAAUGCGCCAAUGUUCGAGUACCAGGCGCUACGACGCUGAAGUAUCCCAUGCCAUACUCCCCGGAAAAGCUCGAACGACCUUCAACAAAAGGGUACCUGUAACCGAAACCGACACAGGUGGGUAGGUAGAGAAUACCUAG
This 346-nucleotide long non-coding RNA is filed under the name Helianthus annuus (common sunflower). Its description in RNAcentral is "Bacterial large subunit ribosomal RNA". It matches the Rfam family "Bacterial large subunit ribosomal RNA", at positions 1354 to 1685 of the family's 2925-position model. Lineage: Eukaryota; Viridiplantae; Streptophyta; Magnoliopsida; Asterales; Asteraceae. The record is from RNAcentral.